RNAcentral lists this unclassified non-coding RNA (470 nucleotides) under Hevea brasiliensis (rubber tree). The record is from RNAcentral. Lineage: Eukaryota; Viridiplantae; Streptophyta; Magnoliopsida; Malpighiales; Euphorbiaceae.
UUAGUUUAAAUUUAAAAACAAUCUUCCUCUGUCUCGUUCUUUCUCCCUCAGCCGAAAUAGUUAAUUAGUUAUACCAAAGGUACCUCCAAGAAAGAGAUGCAAAGUAGAAAACAAGAAAAUCGAACCCCUUUCUGCCUUGUAUCAAUGAAGUGUCAAUUUUAACAUGACCAACUUAUAGCAAAAGGUUAUAGGCACAUAACAGACAGACUCAUGGAGAGAUAAGAAGGGGGCAUCUUGAGAAAUCGAGUAGAGAAGACGCUCGAGUAUGAAAAAUAUAAAUUUGUCACUUAAUUAAGACGGAGCUUGUUUAGGUAUUCUUAAAAGAUUCUCUUAGUGGCGUAUUUUUGGAUGUUAUUGCGGUUGGCAAAGAGCUAGGCCUUGAUGGUUGAGUGGCUCCGCCACUAACAAAGGCAAUGGACGUUGCAGAAUUCAAGCAAAGAAAGGCCCUUUGUUUAUUGUCAACAUUUGUC